RNAcentral lists this long non-coding RNA (398 nucleotides) under Androctonus crassicauda. Lineage: Eukaryota; Metazoa; Arthropoda; Arachnida; Scorpiones; Buthidae. The record is from RNAcentral.
CGGACCAUUAAGGAUUUCUUCUUGAAGAAAUCCUUAAUGGUCUGCUCAAUUGUGCUGAGUUAUAAAUCAUUGUCAUCCUUUUUCUUACUAAAUUUGAUUAGUUCUUCCAAUUCCUCUUCAGUUAAUUCCUUGUAUGACUGCAACAGUUGCUUUAUGUUAUCAUUUAUGUCUGCCAAACCUUCACUACCCAGGCAUUUUGCAACAUCCACUAUCUUCUUGAUCUCUGGGAAUUAUGUUGGGCAAAUUCAUUCAAUAUUCUCUUUCCACAGCUUAGACCAAUAGGUAUUCAGAAGUGAUUGCUUUAUUUCAUCAAGUGAGUCUUUAAUGAAGGCAAUACAGUUGGCAAUGUUGAAUUGUUUUCAGUAAUCUGUGACUGUCAGAUUUGAGUCAUUUUCAAU